RNAcentral lists this ribosomal RNA (497 nucleotides) under uncultured bacterium. RNAcentral describes it as "partial 16S ribosomal RNA". It matches the Rfam family "Bacterial small subunit ribosomal RNA", at positions 28 to 507 of the family's 1533-position model. The record is from RNAcentral.
GAUGAACGCUGGCGGCGUGCCUAAUACAUGCAAGUCGAGCGAACAGACGAGGCGCUUGCUCCUCUGACGUUAGCGGCGGACGGGUGAGUAACACGUGGAUAACCUACCUAUAAGACUGGGAUAACUUCGGGAAACCGGAGCUAAUACCGGAUAAUAUAUUGAACCGCAUGGUUCAAUAGUGAAAGACGGUUUUGCUGUCACUUAUAGAUGGAUCCGCGCCGCAUUAGCUAGUUGGUAAGGUAACGGCUUACCAAGGCAACGAUGCGUAGCCGACCUGAGAGGGUGAUCGGCCACACGGGAACUUGGACACGGUCCAGACUCCUACGGGAGGCAGCAGUAGGGAAUCGUCCGCAAUGGGCGAAAGCCUGACGGAGCAACGCCGCGUGAGUGAUGAAGGUCUUCGGAUCGGAAAACUCUGUUAUUAGGGAAGAACAAAUGUGUAAGUAACUAUGCACGUCUUGACGGUACCUAAUCAGAAAGCCACGGCUAACUACGUG